RNAcentral lists this ribosomal RNA (328 nucleotides) under uncultured eukaryote. RNAcentral describes it as "partial 18S ribosomal RNA". It matches the Rfam family "Eukaryotic small subunit ribosomal RNA", at positions 1470 to 1796 of the family's 1831-position model. The record is from RNAcentral.
CCCUUAGAUGUCCUGGGCCGCACGCGCGUUACACUGAUGCAUUCAACGAGCUUAUAACCUUGGCCGAGAGGCCUGGGCAAUCUUGUUAACGUGCAUCGUGAUAGGGAUAGAUUAUUGAAAUUAUUAAUCUUGAACGAGGAAUUCCUAGUAAACGCAGAUCAUCAAUCUGCAUUGAUUACGUCCCUGCCCUUUGUACACACCGCCCGUCGCUACUACUGAUUGGAUGUUUAAGCGAGGUUCUCGAACUGCUAGCGACUUAGCUUCGGUGAGGUCGCAGUGUGGGGAGUGAACCUAGCUUUGGUGUCUAGAGGAAGUAAAAGUCGUAACA